RNAcentral lists this ribosomal RNA (459 nucleotides) under uncultured bacterium. RNAcentral describes it as "partial 16S ribosomal RNA". It matches the Rfam family "Bacterial small subunit ribosomal RNA", at positions 338 to 795 of the family's 1533-position model. The record is from RNAcentral.
CCUACGGGUGGCUGCAGUGAGGAAUAUUGGUCAAUGGCCGGAAGGCUGAACCAGCCAUGCCGCGUGAAGGUCAGUGCCCUUUGGGCGUUAAACUUCUUUUGUGCGGGAGCAAUAAUGGUCCCGUGUGGCCAGACGAGAGUACCGUACGCAUAAGCAUCGGCUAACUACGUGCCAGCAGCCGCGGUAAUACUGCGGAUGCAAGCGUUAUCCGGAUGUAUUGGGUUGAAAGGGUGCGUAGGCCGCAGGUCAAGCGUGCUGUGAAAGGUCCGGGCUCAACCCGGGCCUUGCAGUGCGAGCUGGGGUGCUUGAGUGUGCGGAAGGCAGGCGGAAUUCGUCGUGUAGCGGUGAAAUGCGUAGAUAUGACGAAGAACCCCGAUUGCGAAGGCAGCUUGCUGGAGCGGAACUGACGCUGAUGCUCGAAAGCGCGGGUAUCGAACAGGAUUAGAUACCCGAGUAGUC